RNAcentral lists this ribosomal RNA (1011 nucleotides) under uncultured bacterium. RNAcentral describes it as "bacterial SSU rRNA". It matches the Rfam family "Bacterial small subunit ribosomal RNA", at positions 371 to 1380 of the family's 1533-position model. The record is from RNAcentral.
AUGGGCGCAAGCCUGAUCCAGCAAUGCCGCGUGUGUGAAGAAGGCCUUCGGGUUGUAAAGCACUUUUGGCGGGAGCGAAACGGCGUUUGCUAAUACCAGACGCUAAUGACGGUACCCGCAGAAUAAGCACCGGCUAACUACGUGCCAGCAGCCGCGGUAAGACGUAGGGUGCGAGCGUUAAUCGGAAUUACUGGGCGUAAAGCGUGCGCAGGCGGCUUUGUAAGACAGGUGUGAAAUCCCCGGGCUUAACCUGGGAACUGCACUUGUGACUGCAAGGCUAGAGUGUGUCAGAGGGAGGUGGAAUUCCGCGUGUAGCAGUGAAAUGCGUAGAUAUGCGGAGGAACACCGAUGGCGAAAGCAGCCUCCUGGGAUAACACUGACGCUCAUGCACGAAAGCGUGGGGAGCAAACAGGAUUAGAUACCCUGGUAGUCCACGCCCUAAACGAUGUCAACUAGUUGUCGGGGAUUCGUUUCCUUGGUAACGCAGCUAACGCGUGAAGUUGACCGCCUGGGGAGUACGGCCGCAAGGUUAAAACUCAAAGGAAUUGACGGGGACCCGCACAAGCGGUGGAUGAUGUGGAUUAAUUCGAUGCAACGCGAAAAACCUUACCUGCGCUUGACAUGCCAGGAACCCCGAAGAGAUUUGGGGGUGCCCGAAAGGGAGCCUGGACACAGGUGCUGCAUGGCUGUCGUCAGCUCGUGUCGUGAGAUGUUGGGUUAAGUCCCGCAACGAGCGCAACCCUUAUCCUUAGUUGCUACGCAAGGGCACUCUAAGGAGACUGCCGGUGACAAACCGGAGGAAGGUGGGGAUGACGUCAAGUCCUCAUGGCCCUUAUGCGCAGGGCUUCACACGUCAUACAAUGGUCGGUACAGAGGGUCGCCAACCCGCGAGGGGGAGCCAAUCCCAGAAAGCCGAUCGUAGUCCGGAUUGCAGUCUGCAACUCGACUGCAUGAAGUCGGAAUCGCUAGUAAUCGCGGAUCAGCAUGUCGCGGUGAAUACGUUCCCGGGUC